GCCUCGGUGGUGUAGCGGUAGCACGCGCCCUUGUGACGGGUUUAACGUGGGUUCAGUCCCGCCUGGGGUU
Parelaphostrongylus tenuis is the source of this 70-nucleotide non-coding RNA. NCBI's taxonomy places the organism in Eukaryota, Metazoa, Nematoda, Chromadorea, Rhabditida, Metastrongylidae. The record is from the annotation of a GenBank genome assembly.